AGCCUACCAUAACUAGUAAAACUAUGGUUUCAAGUGAAAUCGUGUGAGGAACCCCAAUCCAUAAAUUGUCUCAAAGCAAAGCAGCUGUAGUUAAAGUCUUACCCGUCUAGUCUCUAUUGCUUACUAUCUGUGACAAUCCCAGAAGCACCCAGUGGAAGCCUGUGGCUCCAUGACCAGUUUGAAUAGCGCCAAUUUAUACCUGAAGAGAGGACACCGUUUGGAAACAAACCCAACCACACAUUCUCACUUUCCAUUAUAUUCUUCAAUGAAACCUGAUGCCUCUUCAUGCUUAUCAGUGAGCCCCAUGGCAUAAGAGACCUUGUUCGUCUCGCCCUGAAUCACCAAGCUCUGAGGUACUCAGUGUUUGUUGAAUGAAUGAAUAAUCAAUAGUGAAUGAAAAAUCCUUAGGCAGCAUCCGUUUCCUGUUUCCCUGCUCACAGUUAUUCAUGAGUCAAGCCUAUGAAUCAGCAUUAUUGGAAAAAGAUAGAAAUGGAGUCGUGCCACUUUGCACCCCCUAUCUCCAGUCCCAAACCAUUCAUACACACAUACACACACUGAACUGCCUGUCCGCAUAGAACGUAUUGUUUGAAAUCUUGGUCAUGGACAUCUUAUUUGCGCAUCAUGGAAAUACACCGGUAUUGUGAUAUCUUUCUCUUUGUUGCCCAGAACCUCAUUCCUGAAGGCAAGAUCAGAAAUGGGAGAGAGAACGUUACAGGCGAAGGUGCUUGACAGGCGAUACAGACGAGGACGCUACGGCCUGAAGAACAGAAGGCACUUAUCCGAACUAGAUCCUGGAGAGAGGCUGCCUGCGUUUCAAAGCCUGGCCUUUGGCUUUCAAAAUAAUAGCGACGUAAAUGUGCCGGACAUCUUUUUCCUCGGGAGCACGGAGAACUUUCCAGGCAUGAUCUCAUUCUGUCUUCAGACAUCCCCCAAUGAGGCUGACUGAGGAAGACAGCAUUCACGGCGGCAGCAUUACAGGCCCGUUUGACUCACCUCAACACCUCUGUCCUCUGUCGCACCCCCGUGUCCCCCCCCCCCCCGACGCUGCUGAGAAAACCGAGGCCGGCCGAAGGGAUGCGACAGUUUCUCUCCCCUUUCUCCUCACUCGGCGGGUACCGCUUUCCUCUGUUCAGAAGAAGGAAUCAUACGAGGGCUGUUCACAGUAAUGCUCAUGCCCGUGUGCCAGGCGCGGGGCUAAGCACUGAUGUGUGAUUUCAUUGAACCCUGCAAACAACCCCGUGAGCAGACUGACGGGGAGAACUCCCGAAGAGUCCCGGAGCGGAGGUCCGGCAUGACACUAGGGACCUGCUCAACCAAGAAGACUUGCAUUGGAUUGCGACAUGGGCAACAACCCCAUUUUGAUACUCAGGCACCAGCAUAUAUUAUGAUAAAAAUCUGGGCAACAGAAUGGAUAUAUGACGUCAAGGAAGAACAGGAACUAUGUAUAUUUAAAGUAGAUAAUGUUUAGGGGGAAGAAGCGGGAUGUCAUUUGCCAAAGGACUACAAAGAACAGGCAAGCGGAAUUGCGUGGACAGUAGAUGCCAACCUGGAACUGAGACUGAUCGAAGGACCCUAUGAAACCUCCUGCUGCCUACCUGGCAGGAAGAAGGAAAUAAAACAGGGGAGAGAAGAUAUCCUGGAUUUUCUAAGUAUUUACUUAGAGAAGGCUGAAAAAAGGAUAUAACCCAGAAAUGACAGAGUUUACACUGAAUUGCCCAAGAAGAAGAUUAAACCCCAAAGAAAGAGGGACCCCUAUUCUGCUGUUUCCCUUUGUCGAUGAACUGGUGUGAGAAAAACCCAAGCCCGGGAUUCCUGAAAUAGGUCUGAUCAGUUAUCUUUAGAGGAUGUGUGGACUUUGCACCCCCACUGAUGACCCAAGGUCGACAGUUGAUUGGGUGAGUGGUUUGCUCUUGUCUGUCCCAUCGGGCUUAUUUAUAUGAUCACAGAUCACAGCUUCUUUAUAUGAUGAACAGGCAGCCUCUGAAAAUACAGGCUCCUACUCAUUAGUGUGUUCCUGCCCACAUCAGAGCUCCUGUUUGUGUCUCCAUCCCUCUCCUCUUCCAUGCUCUUCCUCCUCCUUUGGGGGGAUGCAGAAAGGUACAGGAGCUGGAAUUACGCCAUGUGUGUGUAAAAGUGCUCACAGUUGCGGUGAUCAUGGCUAACUUUCUAUAAGCAACGAUGUUCCAGAACCGCACCGAAAACAUGAACUUUCCUGAGAAUACCACACGUUUGGAAGGGGCAGGGAAUUAUGUAGUGCCGGAACAUGAACUGUGAGGAAGGCAGAAGAAGGAGGCCGGAUGCUUGGGUGACCAACCUCCCCUGUGUGCCUGGGACUGUCCAGACUUUUGUGCUGAAAUUCCUCCGUUCUGAGCAAGCCCUCGGCCUGGGCAAUCCAGAAUGACUGGUCACACUCCCGUGUUCCCUCUCACCCUUCUGUUUCCAGAGCUUACGAUCUCUUUUCUCACCCUUCAUGCUGUUCUUGUAAUUCAGCUUAGGGGGAUGAUGGGAUGUCCUUUCCAAAGGACUGCAUCCUAACGCCCUAGCCCUGUGACCAUAGCCUUUCUCUGCUGCUACACGUGAUAGAUGGCCUUCAGAGGCACGACCUGUACUAUAGACAACUACCCUGUGCUCGGGGCUAGCACAGCCAGGGCUGGGGGUCCUUAGGGAUCACUUUCCAAGAUACCAGAAGAUGCGCUGUUCUUUCUUUGAAGCCCCAACUUCUCCUCUCCAUCCUCCUGGACC
Molecule: long non-coding RNA, 2742 nt
Organism: Felis catus (domestic cat)
Lineage: Eukaryota; Metazoa; Chordata; Mammalia; Carnivora; Felidae
Exons: 6
Source: RefSeq, a predicted model, not a curated record